This is a long non-coding RNA of Nannospalax galili (Upper Galilee mountains blind mole rat), 238 nucleotides long. RefSeq lists it as uncharacterized. Lineage: Eukaryota; Metazoa; Chordata; Mammalia; Rodentia; Spalacidae. The transcript has 3 exons. The record is from RefSeq and is a predicted model, not a curated record.
GGCUUGGAUACCGGUGUUGUAUGAAGUCUGUGCCGAGGACUGUAACAUGAAACAACUUACCAGCCUAACUUCCAGAUCGGUGCCGUGCUGGCCACUGUUGACCCAAAGAUGAUGGUGAAGAUGUUCCUGCCCACAAGGAGUUAGCAAGCCACUGGGCAUUCCUCUUGCUGAUGACACAAUUCCUGUUUGAAUCUGUUUACAAGAUUCUGAAAGCUGAACAGGGAAUUGUACUACUGUG